GACAGGGGGUGCUAGCGUUGCUCGGAAUUACUGGGCGUAAAGCGCACGUAGGCGGUCCCGUAAGUCGGGUGUGAAAGCCCUCAGCCUAACUGAGGAACUGCGCCCGAUACUGCGGGGCUUGAGGAUGGGAGGGGAGAGUGGAAUUCCUGGUGGAGCGGUGAAAUGCGUAGAUAUCAGGAGGAAUACCAGUGGCGAAGGCGACUCUCUGGUCCAUUCCUGACGCUGAGGUGCGAAAGCUAGGGGAGCAAACGGG
RNAcentral lists this ribosomal RNA (253 nucleotides) under uncultured bacterium. RNAcentral's name for it is "partial 16S ribosomal RNA". It matches the Rfam family "Bacterial small subunit ribosomal RNA", at positions 524 to 776 of the family's 1533-position model. The record is from RNAcentral.